UGCCAGCCGCCGCGGUAAGACGGAGGGGGCUAACGUUGUUCGGAUUUACUGGGCGUAAAGCGCGCGUAGGCGGCUUGCCAAGUUGGGCGUGAAAGCCCGGGGCUCAACCCCGGAACUGCGCUCAAAACUGGCAGGCUAGAGACCGGAAGAGGAGAGCGGAAUUCCCAGUGUAGAGGUGAAAUUCGUAGAUAUUGGGAAGAACACCAGUGGCGAAGGCGGCUCUCUGGUCCGGUUCUGACGCUGAGGUGCGAAAGCGUGGGGAGCAAACAGGAUUAGAUA
This 279-nucleotide ribosomal RNA is filed under the name uncultured bacterium. Its description in RNAcentral is "partial 16S ribosomal RNA". It matches the Rfam family "Bacterial small subunit ribosomal RNA", at positions 506 to 784 of the family's 1533-position model. The record is from RNAcentral.